UACAGAGGGGGCAAGCGUUGUUCGGAAUUACUGGGCGUAAAGGGCGCGUAGGCGGCCUUCUAAGUCGAACGUGAAAUCCCCGGGCUCAACCCGGGAACUGCGUCCGAGACUGAAAGGCUUGAAUCCGGGAGAGGGAUGUGGAAUUCCAGGUGUAGCGGUGAAAUGCGUAGAUAUCUGGAGGAACAUCGGUGGCGAAGGCGGCAUCCUGGACCGGUAUUGACGCUGAGGCGCGAAAGCGUGGGGAGCGAACAGG
This 253-nucleotide ribosomal RNA is filed under the name uncultured bacterium. RNAcentral describes it as "partial 16S ribosomal RNA". It matches the Rfam family "Bacterial small subunit ribosomal RNA", at positions 524 to 776 of the family's 1533-position model. The record is from RNAcentral.